CACAACUCUAAACGCUGGAUCACUCGCCGAGUGUGUCGAUGAAGAGCGCACCCAGCUGCGUGAAAUAAUGUGRRUWGCMRGACACAYWGAACAUCGAUAUMUUGAACGCAUAUUGCGGCCUCGGGUAAUCCCGAGGCCACGCCUGUCUCAGGGUCGGUUACAAGUCGAUCGCCGUGCCGCUCUCUCUCUGGCCCGGCGCGUUGGGCGUCGCAG
This 213-nucleotide ribosomal RNA is filed under the name Grania unitheca. RNAcentral's name for it is "5.8S ribosomal RNA". The stretch from base 4 to 156 matches the Rfam family "5.8S ribosomal RNA". From Rfam's summary of the family: 5.8S ribosomal RNA (5.8S rRNA) is a component of the large subunit of the eukaryotic ribosome. The record is from RNAcentral. Lineage: Eukaryota; Metazoa; Annelida; Clitellata; Enchytraeida; Enchytraeidae.